This 78-nucleotide transfer RNA is filed under the name Saccharothrix violaceirubra. RNAcentral describes it as "tRNA-OTHER". It matches the Rfam family "transfer-messenger RNA", at positions 291 to 374 of the family's 374-position model. From Rfam's summary of the family: Bacterial tmRNA, also known as 10Sa RNA or SsrA, is named for its dual tRNA and mRNA-like properties. Its role is to liberate the mRNA from a stalled ribosome. To accomplish this part of the tmRNA is used as a reading frame that ends in a translation stop signal. Lineage: Bacteria; Bacillati; Actinomycetota; Actinomycetes; Pseudonocardiales; Pseudonocardiaceae. The record is from RNAcentral.
GAGGCGUAGCGGACUGCGCACGGAGAAGCCUUGAUGAGCCGGCAGAGGACCCGGGUUCGAUUCCCGGCACCUCCACCA